This 491-nucleotide ribosomal RNA is filed under the name uncultured bacterium. RNAcentral describes it as "bacterial SSU rRNA". It matches the Rfam family "Bacterial small subunit ribosomal RNA", at positions 17 to 518 of the family's 1533-position model. The record is from RNAcentral.
UUCUGGCUCAGGAUGAACGCUGGCGGCGUGCUUAACACAUGCAAGUCGAACGGAGUUAUCAAUGAAGCCUAGCGAUUGAUAACUUAGUGGCGGACGGGUGAGUAACGCGUGGGUAACCUGCCUUAUCCGGGGGGAUAACAGUUAGAAAUGACUGCUAAUACCGCAUAAGCGCACAGAAUCGCAUGAUUCCGUGUGAAAAGAUUUAUCGGGAUAAGAUGGACCCGCGUCUGAUUAGCUAGUUGGCGAGGUAACGGCCCACCAAGGCGACGAUCAGUAGCCGGCCUGAGAGGGUGAACGGCCACAUUGGGACUGAGACACGGCCCAAACUCCUACGGGAGGCAGCAGUGGGGAAUAUUGCACAAUGGGGGAAACCCUGAUGCAGCGACGCCGCGUGAGUGAAGAAGUAUUUCGGUAUGUAAAGCUCUAUCAGCAGGGAAGAAAAUGACGGUACCUGACUAAGAAGCCCCGGCUAACUACGUGCCAGCAGCGGC